Megalopta genalis is the source of this 1070-nucleotide long non-coding RNA. RefSeq lists it as uncharacterized. The record is from RefSeq and is a predicted model, not a curated record. NCBI's taxonomy places the organism in Eukaryota, Metazoa, Arthropoda, Insecta, Hymenoptera, Halictidae.
UCUCUCUCCGGCGCAUCGACGAGAUCGCGUCAAAGUCGCGUCGUCGCGAUUUGAAUCGCGCGCCGUGUUCCAACCGCGACUCACAAUUGUUACUUCCAAUCCUGAACAAUGUGUGCAAUUUGAUAGUAUUAUAAAUGGAGGUUUAUUGGUGUAGAGAAAAAUGAACUGGAAGGAAAACGAUAGUUGGAGUUUUCGAGUAGAAGAACUUUUGGGACAGAGAAACAAAUUACGGCGAUUAAUUUUUAAAGAGCAGAACAUUCUUCUCGAGUGUCGAGCACGGAAUUCAAAGGCUAUAUAUCGAAGAGGACACGCCCGGGGACCGAUGUUCCUCACAAGGCCCGACCGUGGCCUACGAAUUGGCCAUGAGAAUCCUUCCAAUGCCUCCAUCUGUCGAAGUCAAAGUGGGAGCACUGUGCGACCGAACAUCCGAUGGAAAGUUGUUGGAAGAAGUUUUCAACCUGGCGAGAGUUAAUCUAGGCGUUGAAACGAUUGAUUCCAGCAUGAACUUCAAGAAAUUUGCAUGGAACGAUCGAUUGAAAUCGUGAGGAAUGAAGGGAUUUCAGGCAGAAUUGAAUUUUCAACGAUCACCGGAGCCCAGCAACGAGACACCGGCACCAGUGUCACGCGAAUAUUGAUCGCGCCGUUGCAUAAUUUAAACCCGGUGGUGGUCUAUGGUGUCGAUUCACAGUCGACGUCCAGGAAUUACAUCAAUCUUCGUAUUUCUCGAAAACCAGCGUUUCUCCCUUCCAAUCUCUCUCUCUCUCUCUCUCUCUCUCUCUCUCUCUCUCUCUCUCUCUCUCGUUCUGGGAGAGCAACCAAAUUUGGAUCGGUGUCUGCGUUCAACCACCGUGUCAAAGAAGAAUUCAACCGGUUCCAUCAACUUCGCCACGUAGACGAAAGAAAUACUUGCAAUGUCAUUGGUGCAGGAAAUUGGGCCAGGUUGUAACAAAAAAGUUCGCCACAGUUUUUUCUUUCUCGAGAAUGUUCUUAACACUAGGAUUUACGGAGCUCAAAAAAACAGUUGUUUCAUAUUAAUUUAUAAAAGUAACAAUAGGACAUUUAUUCUGUUU